UGAACGCUGGCGGCGUGCUUAACACAUGCAAGUCGAACGAAGCACUUUAUUACGAUUUCUUCGGAAUGACGAUUUAGUGACUGAGUGGCGACGGGUGAGUAACGCGUGGGUAACCUGCCUCAUACAGGGGGAUAGCAGCUGGAAACGGCUGGUAAUACCGCAUAAGCGCACGGUAUCGCAUGAUACAGUGUGAAAAACUCCGGUGAUGGAUGGGAUGCGUCUGAUUAGCUUGUUGGCGGGUAACGGCCCACCAAGGCGACGAUCAGUAGGGGUUCUGAGAGGAAGGUCCCCCACAUUGGAACCGAGACACGGUCCAAACUCCUACGGGAGGCAGCAGUGAGGAAUAUUGGUCAAUGGGCGAGAGCCUGAACCAGCCAAGUAGCGUGCAGGAUGACGGCCCUAUGGGUUGUAAACUGCUUUUAUAAGGGAAUAAAGUGGGAGUCGUGACUCUUUUUGCAUGUACCUUAUGAAUAAGGGCCGGCUAAUUCCGUG
This 492-nucleotide ribosomal RNA is filed under the name uncultured bacterium. Its description in RNAcentral is "bacterial SSU rRNA". It matches the Rfam family "Bacterial small subunit ribosomal RNA", at positions 30 to 507 of the family's 1533-position model. The record is from RNAcentral.